This 498-nucleotide ribosomal RNA is filed under the name Veillonella parvula. RNAcentral's name for it is "bacterial SSU rRNA". It matches the Rfam family "Bacterial small subunit ribosomal RNA", at positions 28 to 495 of the family's 1533-position model. Lineage: Bacteria; Bacillati; Bacillota; Negativicutes; Veillonellales; Veillonellaceae. The record is from RNAcentral.
GACGAACGCUGGCGGCGUGCUUAACACAUGCAAGUCGAACGAAGAGCGACGGAAGCUUGCUUCUAUCAAUCUUAGUGGCGAACGGGUGAGUAACGCGUAAUCAACCUGCCCUUCAGAGGGGGACAACAGUUGGAAACGACUGCUAAUACCGCAUACGAUCUAAUCUCGGCAUCGAGGAUAGAUGAAAGGUGGCCUCUACAUGUAAGCUAUCACUGAAGGAGGGGAUUGCGUCUGAUUAGCUAGUUGGAGGGGUAACGGCCCACCAAGGCGAUGAUCAGUAGCCGGUCUGAGAGGAUGAACGGCCACAUUGGGACUGAGACACGGCCCAGACUCCUACGGGAGGCAGCAGUGGGGAAUCUUCCGCAAUGGACGAAAGUCUGACGGAGCAACGCCGCGUGAGUGAUGACGGCCUUCGGGUUGUAAAGCUCUGUUAAUCGGGACGAAAGGCCUUUUUGCGAAUAGUGAGAAGGAUUGACGGUACCGGAAUAGAAAGCCACG